This 497-nucleotide ribosomal RNA is filed under the name uncultured bacterium. RNAcentral's name for it is "partial 16S ribosomal RNA". It matches the Rfam family "Bacterial small subunit ribosomal RNA", at positions 28 to 507 of the family's 1533-position model. The record is from RNAcentral.
GAUGAACGCUGGCGGCGUGCCUAAUACAUGCAAGUCGAGCGAACAGACGAGGAGCUUGCUCCUCUGACGUUAGCGGCGGACGGGUGAGUAACACGUGGAUAACCUACCUAUAAGACUGGGGUAACUUCGGGAAACCGGAGCUAAUACCGGAUAAUAUAUUGAACCGCAUGGUUCAAUAGUGAAAGACGGUUUUGCUGUCACUUAUAGAUGGAUCCGCGCCGCAUUAGCUAGUUGGUAAGGUAACGGCUUACCAAGGCAACGAUGCGUAGCCGACCUGAGCGGGUGAUCGGACAGCCUGGAACUGAGACACGGCCCCGACUCCUACGGGAAGCAACAGUAGGGAAUCUUCCGCAAUGGGCGAAAGCUUGACGGAGCAACGCCGCGUGAGUGAUGAAGGUCUUCGGAUCGGAAAACUCUGUUAUUAGUGAAGAACAAAUGUGUAAGUAACUAUGCACGUCUUGACGGUACCUAAUCAGAAAGCCACGGCUAACUACGUG